AGGAACACUAUAGCAUCUAUACUCUAAAUAUAUCUCUGACGUCUCUUUCUUUCAUCCAGUUCAGAAAAGAAUAUUCUAUCUCACCAUUUGUCCCACUUGUCCAAUACUGUAAUUCCAACGCAUCAAUUCUUUUCCAAUAUUCUUUUUGACUUUACAGCUUUCACAUGGAUAAGAGGCAAUCAAAAGUAACAUAACUAGAGUCAGGAACAUAUUCAUCAUCAAAGUGACAGGCAUCUUUGCUAUUAAUAAUACUCCUACUCUUUAGCUGGCUUGGCCUUCUAUGUGCAAUUUGUGAAGAGGAUGUGGCAAAAGCAAUGCUAUGACAUCUUUUGAGUUUUGACUUCAAGAGACUGUGUUUGCUUGUUCUCAGAACCCUGCCUCUGACAUGAGAAAAAGCAAACAAAGACUACCCCUGGUGGCACAAGCAGUUAGGUGUUCAAUUAUUAGAUAAAAGUUUGGCAGCUCGCACCUGCCCAGAGGCACCUUGGAAGACAGACCAGGGAUCUGAUUUUGAAAGGUUACUGUCUUGAAAACCCUUUGGAGCAUCUCGGCUCCCACGAACGGGGUGGUCAUGAGUCCGAAUCCACAUGGUGGCAACUAGUUCCAUGGUAACGUCUGCGUGAGGAUAAGAAGUCAUGCGAUGAAGAAGCAUGUCAGUUCAUUUCUGCCGGCCUAGGCUCCAGAUGUGUGAGCGAACUCAGCCAGGACCAGCCGCCACCCAGCUGACUGCGCCUGCGACCCUGUGAAUGAGUCCAGUUGAGAUCAGUUCAUUCCUGAAAUCAGCCAUCAUCUUGGGAUGUGCAAAGUGGACCUGUGGGUGGUCAAGCGCAGAGACCCAAUGAAACCUUCAGGGACAGCCCCUUAUCAACCACCAGCUCUGCAAGUAAUGAGCCUUUAGAGACGAUGCCAGCUACAGACUUCUCAUCUAUGCCCGCGGACCUCUGAGCGCUGGAGCGGAGACAGAGCAACGUUUCCACUGCACCUGGUCAGAAUUCCUGCCCCACAGAAAAUCCAAGAGGAGGACAUUGGAAACCUACCAGGUAAUUGGUUUGAGGAAGAACUGAGGCCUGAACACCAGAUUGUUGCCUCCUAAUUCAAGGCCGUCGCCACCCUUCCAGGUCAUCUUUUCAUUGGGAAAACACAGGGCUUGUGAGGAUCUCUGCCCCCUAAUGUUCUGCAUGUUAAGAGGAGAAAAACCAAAUACUGUGCGCUAUCCUUCCCUUGCGCGUCUAGGCUUCCAAAAGAGGGGGGAAAUGGCCUUCCCUGAAAAACGAUGCUGAGGAAGUGUUGAUGGCACAAGGUCUUCGGACAUGCUGUCCACCUAAUAAGGGAGUAAACGUCCAUGGAAAACGAGAACUGACGAUCUCUUAGCCUGCUCACAGGUUUUCUCUCGGUGACUGUCACGCAUGGAGGAUGCUGAGUUUCCAUCCCCGUUAUAAUGGUUCUGUUUAAGAUAUGUUUAUUUGGUCAGCUGGCUGCCUUCCUGUUGGCUAUUAAGUGCAGUCUAAUUGAAUUAGAUGGUUUCUGUAGAGAGUCAGAUCCUUCAAGAUAGAACAAGCAAAUGAAAAAUAGAACAAAG
Molecule: long non-coding RNA, 1579 nt
Organism: Echinops telfairi (small Madagascar hedgehog)
Lineage: Eukaryota; Metazoa; Chordata; Mammalia; Afrosoricida; Tenrecidae
Exons: 3
Source: RefSeq, a predicted model, not a curated record